Molecule: ribosomal RNA, 630 nt
Filed under: uncultured marine Syndiniales
Lineage: Eukaryota; Dinophyceae; Syndiniales
Description: SSU rRNA
Rfam family: Eukaryotic small subunit ribosomal RNA
Source: RNAcentral
AGGCGCUGCGUUGGAAUGAGUAGAAUUUAAAUCUCUUUACGACCAUCAAUUGGAGGGCAAGUCUGGUGCCAGCAGCCGCGGUAAUUCCAGCUCCAAUAGCGUAUAUUAAAGUUGUUGCGGUUAAAAAGCUCGUAGUUGGAUUUCUGUCUAGGGUGGCCGGUACCCACUAUGUGAAGUAUCUGGUUCAGUCUGGGCAUCCUCUUGGGGAUCGUUCCUGUGCUUGAUUGCAUGGGGCGGAAUUCAAGACUUUUACUUUGAGGAAAUUAGAGUGUUCACGGCAAGCUUUCGCUUUGAAUACAUUAGCAUGGAAUAAUGAUAUAGGGCAUAAGUUCUAUUUUGUUGGUUUCUAGAACAUAUGCAAUGAUUAAUAGGGAUAAUUGGGGGCACUCGUAUUAACGCGUCAGAGGUGGAAUUCUUAGAUUGCGUUACGACGAACUACUGCGAAAGCAUUUGCCAAGGAUGUUUUCAUUGAUCAAGAACGAAAGUAUGGGGAUCGAAGACGAUUAGAUACCGUCGUAGUCUAUACCAUAAACUAUGCCAACUAGAGAUUGGAGGUCGUUUUUUUUAUGACUCCUUCAGCACCUUAUGAGAAAUCAAAGUUUUUGGGUUCCGGGGGGAGUAUGGUCGCAA